This 2902-nucleotide ribosomal RNA is filed under the name Escherichia coli NCCP15648. Its description in RNAcentral is "bacterial LSU rRNA". It matches the Rfam family "Bacterial large subunit ribosomal RNA". The record is from RNAcentral. Lineage: Bacteria; Pseudomonadati; Pseudomonadota; Gammaproteobacteria; Enterobacterales; Enterobacteriaceae.
UUAAGCGACUAAGCGUACACGGUGGAUGCCCUGGCAGUCAGAGGCGAUGAAGGACGUGCUAAUCUGCGAUAAGCGUCGGUAAGGUGAUAUGAACCGUUAUAACCGGCGAUUUCCGAAUGGGGAAACCCAGUGUGUUUCGACACACUAUCAUUAACUGAAUCCAUAGGUUAAUGAGGCGAACCGGGGGAACUGAAACAUCUAAGUACCCCGAGGAAAAGAAAUCAACCGAGAUUCCCCAAGUAGCGGCGAGCGAACGGGGAGCAGCCCAGAGCCUGAAUCAGUGUGUGUGUUAGUGGAAGCGUCUGGAAAGGCGCGCGAUACAGGGUGACAGCCCCGUACACAAAAAUGCACAUGCUGUGAGCUCGAUGAGUAGGGCGGGACACGUGGUAUCCUGUCUGAAUAUGGGGGGACCAUCCUCCAAGGCUAAAUACUCCUGACUGACCGAUAGUGAACCAGUACCGUGAGGGAAAGGCGAAAAGAACCCCGGCGAGGGGAGUGAAAAAGAACCUGAAACCGUGUACGUACAAGCAGUGGGAGCACGCUUAGGCGUGUGACUGCGUACCUUUUGUAUAAUGGGUCAGCGACUUAUAUUCUGUAGCAAGGUUAACCGAAUAGGGGAGCCGAAGGGAAACCGAGUCUUAACUGGGCGUUAAGUUGCAGGGUAUAGACCCGAAACCCGGUGAUCUAGCCAUGGGCAGGUUGAAGGUUGGGUAACACUAACUGGAGGACCGAACCGACUAAUGUUGAAAAAUUAGCGGAUGACUUGUGGCUGGGGGUGAAAGGCCAAUCAAACCGGGAGAUAGCUGGUUCUCCCCGAAAGCUAUUUAGGUAGCGCCUCGUGAAUUCAUCUCCGGGGGUAGAGCACUGUUUCGGCAAGGGGGUCAUCCCGACUUACCAACCCGAUGCAAACUGCGAAUACCGGAGAAUGUUAUCACGGGAGACACACGGCGGGUGCUAACGUCCGUCGUGAAGAGGGAAACAACCCAGACCGCCAGCUAAGGUCCCAAAGUCAUGGUUAAGUGGGAAACGAUGUGGGAAGGCCCAGACAGCCAGGAUGUUGGCUUAGAAGCAGCCAUCAUUUAAAGAAAGCGUAAUAGCUCACUGGUCGAGUCGGCCUGCGCGGAAGAUGUAACGGGGCUAAACCAUGCACCGAAGCUGCGGCAGCGACGCUUAUGCGUUGUUGGGUAGGGGAGCGUUCUGUAAGCCUGUGAAGGUGUACUGUGAGGUAUGCUGGAGGUAUCAGAAGUGCGAAUGCUGACAUAAGUAACGAUAAAGCGGGUGAAAAGCCCGCUCGCCGGAAGACCAAGGGUUCCUGUCCAACGUUAAUCGGGGCAGGGUGAGUCGACCCCUAAGGCGAGGCCGAAAGGCGUAGUCGAUGGGAAACAGGUUAAUAUUCCUGUACUUGGUGUUACUGCGAAGGGGGGACGGAGAAGGCUAUGUUGGCCGGGCGACGGUUGUCCCGGUUUAAGCGUGUAGGCUGGUUUUCCAGGCAAAUCCGGAAAAUCAAGGCUGAGGCGUGAUGACGAGGCACUACGGUGCUGAAGCAACAAAUGCCCUGCUUCCAGGAAAAGCCUCUAAGCAUCAGGUAACAUCAAAUCGUACCCCAAACCGACACAGGUGGUCAGGUAGAGAAUACCAAGGCGCUUGAGAGAACUCGGGUGAAGGAACUAGGCAAAAUGGUGCCGUAACUUCGGGAGAAGGCACGCUGAUAUGUAGGUGAAGUCCCUCGCGGAUGGAGCUGAAAUCAGUCGAAGAUACCAGCUGGCUGCAACUGUUUAUUAAAAACACAGCACUGUGCAAACACGAAAGUGGACGUAUACGGUGUGACGCCUGCCCGGUGCCGGAAGGUUAAUUGAUGGGGUCAGCGCAAGCGAAGCUCUUGAUCGAAGCCCCGGUAAACGGCGGCCGUAACUAUAACGGUCCUAAGGUAGCGAAAUUCCUUGUCGGGUAAGUUCCGACCUGCACGAAUGGCGUAAUGAUGGCCAGGCUGUCUCCACCCGAGACUCAGUGAAAUUGAACUCGCUGUGAAGAUGCAGUGUACCCGCGGCAAGACGGAAAGACCCCGUGAACCUUUACUAUAGCUUGACACUGAACAUUGAGCCUUGAUGUGUAGGAUAGGUGGGAGGCUUUGAAGUGUGGACGCCAGUCUGCAUGGAGCCGACCUUGAAAUACCACCCUUUAAUGUUUGAUGUUCUAACGUUGACCCGUAAUCCGGGUUGCGGACAGUGUCUGGUGGGUAGUUUGACUGGGGCGGUCUCCUCCUAAAGAGUAACGGAGGAGCACGAAGGUUGGCUAAUCCUGGUCGGACAUCAGGAGGUUAGUGCAAUGGCAUAAGCCAGCUUGACUGCGAGCGUGACGGCGCGAGCAGGUGCGAAAGCAGGUCAUAGUGAUCCGGUGGUUCUGAAUGGAAGGGCCAUCGCUCAACGGAUAAAAGGUACUCCGGGGAUAACAGGCUGAUACCGCCCAAGAGUUCAUAUCGACGGCGGUGUUUGGCACCUCGAUGUCGGCUCAUCACAUCCUGGGGCUGAAGUAGGUCCCAAGGGUAUGGCUGUUCGCCAUUUAAAGUGGUACGCGAGCUGGGUUUAGAACGUCGUGAGACAGUUCGGUCCCUAUCUGCCGUGGGCGCUGGAGAACUGAGGGGGGCUGCUCCUAGUACGAGAGGACCGGAGUGGACGCAUCACUGGUGUUCGGGUUGUCAUGCCAAUGGCACUGCCCGGUAGCUAAAUGCGGAAGAGAUAAGUGCUGAAAGCAUCUAAGCACGAAACUUGCCCCGAGAUGAGUUCUCCCUGACUCCUUGAGAGUCCUGAAGGAACGUUGAAGACGACGACGUUGAUAGGCCGGGUGUGUAAGCGCAGCGAUGCGUUGAGCUAACCGGUACUAAUGAACCGUGAGGCUUAACCUU